AACUUUCAACAACGGAUCUCUUGGCUCUCGUAUCGAUGAAGAACGCAGCGAAAUGCGAUAAGUAAUGUGAAUUGCAGAAUUCAGUGAAUCAUCGAAUCUUUGAACGCACAUUGCGCCCCUUGGUAUUCCUUGGGGCAUGCCUGUUCGAGCGUCC
RNAcentral lists this ribosomal RNA (154 nucleotides) under Tuber rufum var. apiculatum. RNAcentral's name for it is "5.8S ribosomal RNA". It matches the Rfam family "5.8S ribosomal RNA". From Rfam's summary of the family: 5.8S ribosomal RNA (5.8S rRNA) is a component of the large subunit of the eukaryotic ribosome. It is transcribed by RNA polymerase I as part of the 45S precursor that also contains 18S and 28S rRNA. The record is from RNAcentral. Lineage: Eukaryota; Fungi; Ascomycota; Pezizomycetes; Pezizales; Tuberaceae.